Molecule: ribosomal RNA, 253 nt
Filed under: uncultured bacterium
Lineage: Bacteria
Description: partial 16S ribosomal RNA
Rfam family: Bacterial small subunit ribosomal RNA
Source: RNAcentral
UACGGAGGGUGCUAGCGUUGUUCGGAAUCACUGGGCGUAAAGGGCGUGUAGGCGGUCUGUUAAGUCUGAUGUGAAAUCCCCUCGCUCAACGAGGGAACUGCGUCGGAUACUGGCAGACUCGAGUACCGGAGAGGAAGGUGGAAUUCCCGGUGUAGCGGUGAAAUGCGUAGAGAUGUGGAGGAACGCCUGUGGCGAAGGCGCCUUGCUGGCCGAUUUCUGACGCUGAGGCGCGAAAGCGUGGGGAGCAAACGGG